Molecule: transfer RNA, 105 nt
Filed under: Pseudozyma flocculosa
Lineage: Eukaryota; Fungi; Basidiomycota; Ustilaginomycetes; Ustilaginales; Ustilaginaceae
Description: Anthracocystis flocculosa transfer RNA-Pro(CGG)
Rfam family: tRNA
About the family: Transfer RNA (tRNA) molecules are approximately 80 nucleotides in length. Their secondary structure includes four short double-helical elements and three loops (D, anti-codon, and T loops). Further hydrogen bonds mediate the characteristic L-shaped molecular structure. tRNAs have two regions of fundamental functional importance: the anti-codon, which is responsible for specific mRNA codon recognition, and the 3' end, to which the tRNAs corresponding amino acid is attached (by aminoacyl-tRNA synthetases). tRNAs cope with the degeneracy of the genetic code in two manners: having more than one tRNA (with a specific anti-codon) for a particular amino acid; and 'wobble' base-pairing, i.e. permitting non-standard base-pairing at the 3rd anti-codon position.
Source: RNAcentral
GGCUCUUUGGUCUAGAGGCAUGAUUUCUCUUUCGGGUCUGAUCCCCUCUGCCAGCAGGUGGAGUUCCAAUAGAGGAGGUCGGGGGUUCGAUUCCCCCAAGAGCCC